UACGUAGGAGGCAAGCGUUGUCCGGAAUUAUUGGGCGUAAAGCGCGCGCAGGCGGUCCUUUAAGUCUGAUGUGAAAGCCCACGGCUCAACCGUGGAGGGUCAUUGGAAACUGGGGGACUUGAGUGCAGAAGAGGAAAGCGGAAUUCCACGUGUAGCGGUGAAAUGCGUAGAGAUGUGGAGGAACACCAGUGGCGAAGGCGGCUUUCUGGUCUGUAACUGACGCUGAGGCGCGAAAGCGUGGGGAGCAAACAGG
This 253-nucleotide ribosomal RNA is filed under the name uncultured bacterium. RNAcentral describes it as "partial 16S ribosomal RNA". It matches the Rfam family "Bacterial small subunit ribosomal RNA", at positions 524 to 776 of the family's 1533-position model. The record is from RNAcentral.